GAGGAGAUUGUUCCCAGGACACCAGGUUCAUGGCUGAUUAACAGAGGAAGGGAAAGAUGAAAUCCACCGACUUAUCUGCUGUAAUCUCACUAGAUCUUUGAAAGUAAGACACAUUAAUGUCUUCACUACCCAAAAGUGUUCUGCACUGUAUAAAUAUUUUGUUUAAGGAGUACUGCCUGUGUGCUCCAUCUCCCAGGGAUACUUGGCUCCUUGCAGAGUUUGUUUGCUCUCAUCUGGGUCCUAGGAUUGGGACAGGCACUCAACCACAACUCUCCCUGCUGUCUGGUUAGAGCUAAAUAAACUUCUCACAACAUUGGCUCCACUCUUGAACCCUCCGUGGGACUUUUCUGAACCUAGUCUCCAUCCCCUGAGCACCUUGACUUCAUGAUCCUAUGCCCAUUGAGACUUCUUUCACCUUCAUGUCUUUGCCACACCAGGUAAGAGAAUUAAUAUUCUCAAAUAUACAAAGCAAGGCUGUGACUCAGUUCACUGGUCAUAGUCUCCUCUCCUCUUUCAUUUAUCAGCAACCCC
RNAcentral lists this long non-coding RNA (531 nucleotides) under Homo sapiens (human). Its description in RNAcentral is "HSALNT0162682". Lineage: Eukaryota; Metazoa; Chordata; Mammalia; Primates; Hominidae. The record is from RNAcentral.